UCUAUAGUAUUGACCCUUCUUGGUCCUAAGAGCCACAGAUCCCACCCUGGUUUGAYAUCUAUAUCCCCGMCMCCCUAGAGUGAAGAAGCUCCUGGUUGCUCUCGAACCCUCCGCAAGGGGGGCGGUCGUGUGUCUUUUGACCGCGGCUGUAUAGAGAGCGGUGAUGAUCUCGUCCCCGGCUACGGUCUUGCCCUCGGGCGCGUGGUCGGGGCGGGUGUCGGCGGACGUCUGACAGGC
Molecule: non-coding RNA, 237 nt
Organism: Colletotrichum higginsianum
Lineage: Eukaryota; Fungi; Ascomycota; Sordariomycetes; Glomerellales; Glomerellaceae
Source: Rfam